Molecule: ribosomal RNA, 372 nt
Filed under: Triticum aestivum (bread wheat)
Lineage: Eukaryota; Viridiplantae; Streptophyta; Magnoliopsida; Poales; Poaceae
Description: partial small subunit ribosomal RNA
Source: RNAcentral
AUGAUUAUGUGGGUGUUGGUGUGUGGCUUCACGAUCUACAGCACGGAGCCGCCCAAAUACUUGCCCCAGUUCUGGGUGAAACUGCCCGCCGUGGAGGGGCUCGACCGGGGCACCGUUGCGUCGCGGGCCCCCGCCUUCAACAUCACCCUCCGCGUCAACAACCCAGCCGGCGAGUCCGGCACUUCAAGGGGCCGGGCCGCGUCGUGGUGGCGUACGCGGGCGUGCCGCUCGCCCACGCUGACCUCGCCGAGUUCACCGUGCCGGGGCAGGUCAUCAGCUCGGUGCCCAUCUUCGCCACCAGCGAUGGCCUGGGGCUGCCCGACGAGCUGUACGACCGCAUGCAGAGCCAGCGGCGGCGGCGAGAGCGGGUGA